Molecule: ribosomal RNA, 497 nt
Filed under: uncultured bacterium
Lineage: Bacteria
Description: partial 16S ribosomal RNA
Rfam family: Bacterial small subunit ribosomal RNA
Source: RNAcentral
GAUGAACGCUGGCGGCGUGCCUAAUACAUGCAAGUCGAGCGAACAGACGAGGAGCUUGCUCCUCUGACGUUAGCGGCGGACGGGUGAGUAACACGUGGAUAACCUACCUAUAAGACUGGGAUAACUUCGGGAAACCGGAGCUAAUACCGGAUAAUAUAUUGAACCUCAUGGUUCAAUAGUGAAAGACGGUUUUGCUGUCACUUAUAGAUGGAUCCGCGCCGCAUUAGCUAGUUGGUAAGGUAACGGCUUACCAAGGCAACGAUGCGUAGCCGACCUGAGAGGGUGAUCGGCCACACUGGAACUGAGACACGGUCCAGACUCCUACGGGAGGCAGCAGUAGGGAAUCUUCCGCAAUGGGCGAAAGCCUGACGGAGCAACGCCGCGUGAGUGAUGAAGGUCUUCGGAUCGUAAAACUCUGUUAUUAGGGAAGAACAAAUGUGUAAGUAACUAUGCACGUCUUGACGGUACCUACACAGAAAGCCACGGCUAACUACGUG